Molecule: non-coding RNA, 128 nt
Organism: Paramuricea clavata
Lineage: Eukaryota; Metazoa; Cnidaria; Anthozoa; Malacalcyonacea; Plexauridae
Source: the annotation of a GenBank genome assembly
GUGAACAAUGUUGUGCGGCCAACUAUGAACAAGUUGUCAACCAUGUUGUUCCAAGUUGUUACAGUUGAACAAUGCUGUAACAACAUGUUGACAAUACUGUUCAUAGUGGGCCGCACAACCUUGUUCAC